UGAAUACGAGACGCUAAGGCGUCGAAGUAGUGUAUGUCAUACUUCCAAGAAAAGCUUGCACUGUCAUAGAUAAAAAACGCCUGUACCAUAACCGACACAGGUGGGUAGGUAGAGUAUACUAAGGGGCGCGAGAUAACUCUCUCUAAGGAACUCGGCAAAAUAACUCCGUAACUUCGGGAGAAGGAGUGCCUUAUUCGUAAGGUUGCAAUAACAAGAUCCAAGCAACUGUUUAUCAAAAACACAGGUCUCCGCUAAGUCGUAAGACGAUGUAUGGGGGCUGACGCCUGCCCAGUGCCAGAAGGUUAAAGAAGUUGGUUAGCAAUUGCGAAGCUGAUAACUGAAGCCCUGGUGAACGGCGGCCGUAACUAUAACGGUCCUAAGGUAGCGAAAUUCCUUGUCGGGUAAGUUCCGACCCGCACGAAAGGCGUAAUGAUUUGGAUACUGUCUCGGAGAGGGGCUCGGUGAAAUAGACUUGUCUGUGAAGAUGCGGACUACCUGCACCAGGACAGAAAGACCCUAUGAAGCUUUACUGUAACUUGAAAUUGAAAUUGGACUUUAUUCGCGCAGUAUAGGUGGGAGGCGUUGAUUAUAAUCUUGUGGGAUUAUUGGAGCCAUCAGUGAGAUACCACUCUUGUAAUGUUAGAUUUCUAACUUUGAAUCAUUAUCUGGUCAAAGAACAGUUUCAGGCGGGCAGUUUGACUGGGGCGGUCGCCUCCUAAACGGUAACGGAGGCGUACAAAGGUUUCCUCUGAACGGUUAGAAAUCGUAUCUAGAGUGUAAAGGCAUAAGGAAGCUUGACUGUGAGACCUACAAGUCGAGCAGGGACGAAAGUCGGUCUUAGUGAUCUGACGGUACUGAGUGGAAAGGCCGUCACUCAACGGAUAAAAGUUACUCUAGGAUAACAGGCUGAUCUCCCCCAAGAGUUCACAUCGACGGGGAGGUUUGGCACCUCGAUGUCGGCUCAUCGCAUCCUGGGGCGGUAGUACGUCCCAAGGGUUGGGCUGUUCGCCCAUGAAAGCGGUACGCGAGCUGGGUUCAGAACGUCGUGAGACAGUUCGGUCCAUAUCCGGUGUAGGCGUUAGAAUAUUGAGAGGAGCCUUCUUUAGUACGAGAGGACCGAGAAGGACAUACCUCUGGUGUACCAGUUAUCGUGCCAGCGGUAAACGCUGGGUAGCUAUGUAUGGAGUGGAUAACCGCUGAAAGCAUCUAAGUGGGAAGCCCACCUCAAGAUAAGUAUUCUC
This 1241-nucleotide ribosomal RNA is filed under the name metagenome. RNAcentral describes it as "bacterial LSU rRNA". It matches the Rfam family "Bacterial large subunit ribosomal RNA", at positions 1564 to 2815 of the family's 2925-position model. The record is from RNAcentral.